RNAcentral lists this ribosomal RNA (253 nucleotides) under uncultured bacterium. RNAcentral's name for it is "partial 16S ribosomal RNA". It matches the Rfam family "Bacterial small subunit ribosomal RNA", at positions 524 to 776 of the family's 1533-position model. The record is from RNAcentral.
UACGUAGGGGGCUAGCGUUGUCCGGAAUCAUUGGGCGUAAAGCGCGUGUAGGCGGCCCGGUAAGUCCGCUGUGAAAGUCGGGGGCUCAACCCUCGGAUGCCGGUGGAUACUGUCGGGCUUGAGUGCGGAAGAGGCGAGUGGAAUUCCUGGUGUAGCGGUGAAAUGCGCAGAUAUCAGGAGGAACACCAAUUGCGAAGGCAGCUCGCUGGGACGUUACUGACGCUGAGACGCGAAAGCGUGGGGAGCGAACAGG